CGUAGGGUGCGAGCGUUAAUCGGAAUUACUGGGCGUAAAGCGUGCGCAGGCGGUUUUGUAAGACAGAUGUGAAAUCCCCGGGCUCAACCUGGGACCUGCAUUUGUGACUGCAAGGCUAGAGUACGGUAGAGGGGGAUGGAAUUCCGCGUGUAGCAGUGAAAUGCGUAGAUAUGCGGAGGAACACCGAUGGCGAAGGCAAUCCCCUGGACCUGUACUGACGCUCACGCACGAAAGCGUGGGGAGCAAACAGGAUUAGAUACCCUGGUAGUCCACGCCCUAAACGAUGUCAACUGGUUGUUGGGUCUUUACUGACUCAGUAACGAAGCUAACGCGUGAAGUUGACCGCCUGGGGAGUACGGCCGCAAGGUUG
RNAcentral lists this ribosomal RNA (370 nucleotides) under uncultured organism. RNAcentral's name for it is "bacterial SSU rRNA". It matches the Rfam family "Bacterial small subunit ribosomal RNA", at positions 526 to 896 of the family's 1533-position model. The record is from RNAcentral.